Molecule: RNA transcript, 3154 nt
Organism: Xenopus laevis (African clawed frog)
Lineage: Eukaryota; Metazoa; Chordata; Amphibia; Anura; Pipidae
Gene: kin.L
Gene name: Kin17 DNA and RNA binding protein L homeolog
Exons: 8
Source: RefSeq, a predicted model, not a curated record
UAAUUAUUGGUCUCAUGAGCGAAUAGCUCCUCCCACUGUGAUCAUGGUCGGUUCAGUAACGUCGUCUGCUACGUUUGAGGGAUUGAAACUUGCUGCCGGGCUGUCAGUGAGUAAACUUAAGCCAUGGGGAAAUCAGACUUCCUUACUACUCCGAAGGCAAUCGCAAAUCGUAUCAAAUACAAAGGACUCCAGAAACUGCGAUGGUCUUAUCCAAAGCAGUAUCGUGAUGAGUUGAGGAGAAGAGAUGAAUUUCGCACAGAAUUUUUAGAACUGCUAAAACGUCGGUUUGGAACCAAGAGAGUGCAUAAUAAUAUUGUCUACAAUGAAUAUAUCAGCCACAGGGAACACGUGCACAUAAAUGCCACCCAGUGGGAAACACUGACAGACUUUACCAAAUGGCUUGGCCGAGAAGUUUCUGUAAAGUGGAUGAGACUCCAAAGGGCUGGUACAUUCAGUAUAAAGACAGAGAUCCAGAAACAAUCCGCAAACAGCAGGAAGAGGAAAAAACAAGAUCUGGAUGAUGAAGAGAGAACAGCUAAAUUUAUUGAGCAACAAGUUAAAAAGGGCAUGGAAGGGGCUGAGCAGAACACCCCUACCUACACUGAAUUAAACAGACAGAAUGAGGAAGAGAAAGUUGCAUUUAAUUUAAACAAAGGAGCAAGUACUUCAGGAACAGCUACAUCUAAGUGAAGGUACAUGAGAGAUCCUGCAGAGGUAUACUAAAGAGAUGUCUGUUUUGUCGAUGGAAGAACAAAAGAAGAAGACAGAGUGCACAGAUUAUUGGUUACAGCCAGAUAUUGUCAAAAUUGUAACGAAAAGAUUGGGAGAAAAAUAUUAUAAGAAAAAAAGCUGUAGCAAAGGUAAUGUAUUUUUGUCUUUAACCUAUAUCCUGGCUUUGCAUGUAAUAGUGACAUCAUUGCUGAACCUAAUUUCUUGUAGUGCUCUGAUCUUUCAGGGGUCACAGUUAUAUGUUUUUUUGUGGUGGUUUUGUAAGAUGACUCCCCCAAAUAGGAAGCAGAUGGUUCUUUAAACCUUAUAUAUAAUAUUAAAGAGAGAAUAAUUCUUGUUUAUAAGUAAUGGUAAUUUACUCAGAGGGUAUGGUUUUAUAUAUGCAGAACAUAUUCCUUCUGUAAAUGUUUUGCUUUUGAACAUAUGAGUUACCAUAUUGCAUACCAUGUUGGAGCCUUUGUAUAUAUGCACCAAAAGAACAACACAAUGUGUAGAAUUUUAAAAAAACAAAAGCAUGUCCACUACAUACCACUUUUUCAUAUGGUAUAGGCCUUAAAAUGCAGUUCUGAAGACCAGAAAAAGACGGAGCACAAUUUUAAUUUUUGUAGUAGAUAAAAAGGUGUUACUGGCAUAUUAAUAAAUAAUAAAUUAGACCAACAUCACCUAAAGUGAGCAGCACAGUAGGGCAGUAGAUAGCAUUGCUGCCUGUAGCACUGUGAUUCCUAGGUUCUGAUUCAGCCAGGUGACUAUCUGUAUGGAAUUCUGUAUAUAUUCCAUAUAUAAUUUUAUAUAAUCUGCUUCCCAUCCCCUUUUGGGUUUCUUCCCACUCUAAAAACAUGCAGACAAGUUAGUUGGCUUCUAUGUGCAUUGUAGGGACAGUAGAUUGUAAUUUCCACUGAGGCAAGGACUGAUAUGUUUGAUAAUGUGAAUGUGGACACUUUUUUUUUUUUAAAUACUGCAUACUGUGUUGUUCAUUUGAUGCAUAUAUACAAAAGCUCCAACAUGGUAUGCAAUAUCUGUAUAGUGGCAACACUAUAGAAAUAAUAAUAGGGAAAACUGCUAGCACAGUCCCUACUCUCACUCUCACAACAGACCUGAACAUCAAUUGCCUCUCUACAAAUAGCAUUACUAUGUAAAACUGUAUAAAUGAAUGACCCUCACUGUAAUAGUGUGGGGAGUGUAAUGUUGAUAAAUUGCACACUCUUUGUUCCUGUGAUUAACUGUGCAUCUAGAACACAGCUUUUAUAGCCCAGAUGUAGCUAUUAAUUCAAAGCCAGUGUUUGGAGACUGUAGUGACAUAGUUAGAGCUGUCAAGGUUUGACAAAGUAUGAAAUCUGAUGCUUGCAGACUCUAACUUCAAUCCCACAAGUAUAUUUAAUGAGUUUUAAACACAAAUUGGAAAUUUGGAAACACACUCUAUCUGUGAUUCCAUGUUCAUCCCCAUAAUAUGGCUGGGUCUCAAGACCAACCUGUUUCUAUUGCAUAUGUUUUGGCUUUCAAAGUACUGGUGUUUGCUUGUGUCUUCAGUAUCACUUCUUCCCUUCCCAAUCCCACCGUUUAAAAGUAUAUGCUUCACAAUACAAUAAUUUUAUAUAUUAGAAUGUAAUUGGCAUUUCAACACAUUGUAUUUUCCUUUGAAAAAGUUGAAAAUACCUCCUUGACCUAAAAUGUAUUUAUUUGCAUUAUGCUUUAACAGUUUAAUUACCCCAAAAGGCAGAAUCAAACAGUUCUCAAGUGUCAUGCAUGUUGAGCCUGUCUGCUACCACUAAAAUACUCAAUGUGUGACAUGAGCCUUUUGCUAACCACAAAUAUAUUUGAAGGAAUGUGUAUUUAUUAGUCAUAAAUAUACAUAUACAUGUUGGCUUACUAAAUGUGUUCUACAACUAAAACAAAUUAAUUGUUUGUUCUUGUAGGAAAUGAUUGACACAUACACAGCAGUUGUGAAACUUGUUGAUUCUGGAGAUAAAUUAAAGCUGCAUCAGACCCAUUUAGAGACAGUUGCACCAGGUAAAGCACUUGCUUACCCUGGAAAUAAAUAUAACAAGAUCAGCUAGGAACUUGUGUUAUUAAGCUUACACGCAUACACUUGUAGUAUUUAAGUAUUUAAAUACUCAGAAAAACACAUGAUUAAAACCACAGACGGGAUAACAUUUGUAUAUAAAAGGGGAUAAAAUUAUUUUACUGCAAUCUACAUUACAGUUAUGUGCGUAACAGCAAUAAUACAGUAUUUUUAAAAGUUAAUACAACCAAAAAUAUUCUUUUCCCAGGAAAGAAAGUUUGUGUUUUAAAUGGUGGUUACAAAGGAAAUUUUGGCAUCCUAGAUUGCAUCAUUAAGAAGAGCUUUUCUGCUACAAUAGACAUUGGGGCACAUUUACUAUGGGUCGAAUAUCGAGGGUUAAUUAACCCUCAAUAUUCGACCAUCGAA